This 253-nucleotide ribosomal RNA is filed under the name uncultured bacterium. RNAcentral's name for it is "partial 16S ribosomal RNA". It matches the Rfam family "Bacterial small subunit ribosomal RNA", at positions 524 to 776 of the family's 1533-position model. The record is from RNAcentral.
UACAGAGGUCCCAAGCGUUGUUCGGAUUCACUGGGCGUAAAGGGUGCGUAGGUGGCCGGGUAAGUCUGACGUGAAAUCCCGCAGCUCAACUGCGGAACUGCGUCGGAUACUCUCCGGCUCGAGGAAUGGAGGGGAGACUGGAAUUCUCGGUGUAGCAGUGAAAUGCGUAGAUAUCGAGAGGAACACCCGUGGCGAAAGCGGCUCUCUGGAACGGUACUGACGCUGAGACGCGAAAGCGUGGGGAGCGAACAGG